UACAGAGGGGGCAAGCGUUGUUCGGAAUUACUGGGCGUAAAGGGCUCGUAGGUGGCCAACUAAGUCAGACGUGAAAUCCCUCGGCUUAACCGGGGAACUGCGUCUGAUACUGGAUGGCUUGAGUUCGGGAGAGGGAUGCGGAAUUCCAGGUGUAGCGGUGAAAUGCGUAGAUAUCUGGAGGAACACCUGUGGCGAAGGCGGCCGCCUGGUUGGAUACUGACGCUGAGACGCGAAAGCGUGGGGAGCAAACAGG
Molecule: ribosomal RNA, 253 nt
Filed under: uncultured bacterium
Lineage: Bacteria
Description: partial 16S ribosomal RNA
Rfam family: Bacterial small subunit ribosomal RNA
Source: RNAcentral